UAGGCUGCAAAUCUUUUGUAUGUGGACCAACCAACUGGAACCGGCUUUAGUUACAGUACUGAUUCACGUGACAUUCGCCAUGAUGAAGAGGGAGUUAGCAAUGAUCUAUAUGACUUUAUACAGGCCUUUUUUGAAGAGCAUCCGCAAUAUGCAAAGAAUGACUUUUUUAUUACCGGUGAAUCAUAUGCUGGGCAGUAUAUUCCUGCAUUUGCAGCUCGUGUCCACAAGGGAAACCAAGCUAAUGAAGGAAUUCAUAUAAACCUGAAGGGAUUUGCCAUUGGUAACGGUCUUACUGAUCCUGCAAUUCAGUACAAAGCUUAUCCGGAUUAUGCACUGGACAUGGGCAUAAUUUCAAAAAU
Long non-coding RNA from Arachis duranensis, 359 nucleotides. RefSeq lists it as uncharacterized. The transcript has 3 exons. The record is from RefSeq and is a predicted model, not a curated record. Lineage: Eukaryota; Viridiplantae; Streptophyta; Magnoliopsida; Fabales; Fabaceae.